This 776-nucleotide long non-coding RNA is filed under the name Dermacentor andersoni. RNAcentral's name for it is "uncharacterized LOC126524664". The record is from RNAcentral. Lineage: Eukaryota; Metazoa; Arthropoda; Arachnida; Ixodida; Ixodidae.
UGUUGAGCAAGUUUGGAUAGCCCUGAAAUUCGGUUUAACGUCAGGCCAACGGCCUAAGCUAACAACCUCCGAAGGCGGAGGGCUGUCGAGUUGCGUAAGGUCAUUCCUUAACUUAUGACGCUCUUGCACGUACUCAGGGCAAUCAGAAAGCACACGACCUUUUGCUAAUGUCGCUAAAGAAGGCAAGUAAAACAUAUUGCUUUAGAAGCUUCUCUGACGCUUUCUACGAUACACCAGUCCUCUACGGCGCCGCAAGUCAACGAUAAAAAGAUCGUUAUAUUCAUGUCCCAUCGUAAUCUAGAGUUACUCGAUUAGCAUUUGUUACUUCCGAAAGCUUCAGGAGAGACGUGACACAUAAAUCACCUCUGUAUAUCAAUGCUUAUAUUUUUCUCGGCUAUGUGAAAGUGCAAAUUUUUUUAAAGAGCUCCGUGACACUCACUGCCUUUUCCUCUAAAGCGCAUACGCGUGUCGCCUGCCGUGCCCGCUUCACAAAGAAAGCCGUCUCAUCCGCAGUCGUGCCAUCAAUACAUCUUGCAGGGCUUGAAGCGGCGGGAACUACAUAUAUGGCGUCGACGUCGUUUCACACGUGCUGUCUUAUCUGGACUGUGCUGUGCUGUAUGCAAGUACACGCAUUUGAAGCCGGCAAAGUGGCCUUUUUAAGGUAUACCUGUCAGUACGGACAGUAUUUCAUUCAAACGCAGUAUAUAUUACAAGAUGAGUGCAAACGAGCGACAUGCUAUAUAUCUGAUAGGAAGCUUACCAUUGAACAGUAAGCG